This 274-nucleotide ribosomal RNA is filed under the name uncultured bacterium. RNAcentral describes it as "partial 16S ribosomal RNA". It matches the Rfam family "Bacterial small subunit ribosomal RNA", at positions 523 to 796 of the family's 1533-position model. The record is from RNAcentral.
AUACGUAGGUCCCAAGCGUUGCGCGAUCUCACUGGGCGUAAAGCGUCCCCAGCCGGUCCGGUAAGCGGAUUGUCAAAACCCGCGGCUCAACCGCGGUAGGGCAACCCGAACUGCCGGACUUGAGGCAAGCCCAGGCAGGCGGAAUUCCCGGUGUAGCGGUGAAAUGCGUAGAUAUCGUGAGGAACACCAAAGGGGGAGCCAGCCUGCUGGGGCUGCCCUGACGGUCACGGACGAAAGCUGGGGGAGCAAACCGGAUUAGAAACCCUAGUAGUCC